GAUGAAGAACGUAGCGAAACGCGAUAAGUAAUGUGAAUUGCAGAAUUUAGUGAAUCAUCGAAUCUUUGAACGCACAUUGCGCCCUCUGGUAUUCCGGGGGGCAUGCCUGUUCGAGCGUCAUUAUAACCACUCAAGCUCUCGCUUGGUAUUGGGGUUCGCGGUUUCGCGGCCCCUAAAAUCAGUGGCGGUGCCUGUCGGCUCUACGCGUAGUAAUACUUCUCGCGAUUGAGUUCGAUAGGUCUACUUGCCAGUAACCCCCAAUUUUUACAGGUUGACCUCGGAUCAGGUAGGGAUACCCGCUGAACUUAAGCAUAUCAAUAAGCGGAGGA
This 329-nucleotide unclassified non-coding RNA is filed under the name soil metagenome. Its description in RNAcentral is "partial contains 5.8S ribosomal RNA, internal transcribed spacer 2, and large subunit ribosomal RNA". The stretch from base 1 to 120 matches the Rfam family "5.8S ribosomal RNA", at positions 35 to 154 of the family's 154-position model. The record is from RNAcentral.